CAGCCGCCACGGGAAAACGGAGGGUGCAAGCGUUAAUCGGAAUUACUGGGCGUAAAGCGUGCGUAGGCGGUUCGUUAAGUCUGUUGUGAAAGCCCCGGGCUCAACCUGGGAAUGGCAAUGGAUACUGGCGAGCUAGAGUGUGUCAGAGGAUGGUGGAAUUCCCGGUGUAGCGGUGAAAUGCGUAGAGAUCGGGAGGAACAUCAGUGGCGAAGGCGGCCAUCUGGGACAACACUGACGCUGAGGCACGAAAGCGUGGGGAGCAAACAGGAUUAGAUACCCCAGUAGUCCCUGUCUCUUAUAC
RNAcentral lists this ribosomal RNA (301 nucleotides) under uncultured bacterium. RNAcentral's name for it is "partial 16S ribosomal RNA". It matches the Rfam family "Bacterial small subunit ribosomal RNA", at positions 509 to 807 of the family's 1533-position model. The record is from RNAcentral.